UUUUCUGAGAAGUUAUUUAUCAAUUAUCAUUAUUGAAAAUUCAUAGUACAUUGCAGUGGUAUCAGAGAGAAAAUGGUUGACCGAGUUCCUCUACUUUCAAAGGAUGAUUCUGAUUCAUUAGUCAGAACAACAGAAUCUGGGGACAUUCUUUGGAGAUCUCGCAAAAGAUCUCAUGGACAUCAGAGCUUUAAGGCUCAAAGCAGGACACGGACCAGGACUGCACACACAAUAU
Non-coding RNA from Misgurnus anguillicaudatus (oriental weatherfish), 232 nucleotides. Lineage: Eukaryota; Metazoa; Chordata; Actinopteri; Cypriniformes; Cobitidae. The record is from RefSeq and is a predicted model, not a curated record.